This 249-nucleotide ribosomal RNA is filed under the name uncultured bacterium. RNAcentral's name for it is "partial 16S ribosomal RNA". It matches the Rfam family "Bacterial small subunit ribosomal RNA", at positions 525 to 776 of the family's 1533-position model. The record is from RNAcentral.
ACGUAGGAGACAAACGUUAUCCGGAGUUACUGGGCGUAAAGCGCGCGUAGGCGGCUUUGUAAGUUAGAGGUGAAAGCCCGGGGCUCAACCCCGGAAUUGCCUUUAAGACUGCAUCGCUUGAAUCCGGGAGAGGUGAGUGGAAUUCCGAGUGUAGAGGUGAAAUUCGUAGAUAUCGGAAGAACACCAGUGGCGAAGGCGGCUCACUGGACCGGCAUUGACGCUGAGGUGCGAAGCGUGGGAGCAAACAGG